CGCGUGGGAACAUACCCAACACUACGGAAUAGCCUCGGGAAACUGAGAGUAAUACCGUAUACGCCCUUCGGGGAAAGGAUUUAUCGGUGAUGGAUUGGCCCGCGUUAGAUUAGAUAGUUGGUGGGGUAAGUGGCCUACCAAGUCUACGAUCUAUAGCUGGUUUGAGAGGAUGAUCAGCAACACUGGGACUGAGACACGGCCCAGACUCCUACGGGAGGCAGCAGUGGGGAAUCUUAGACAAUGGGCGCAAGCCUGAUCUAGCGAUGCCGCGUGAGUGACGAAGGCCUUAGGGUCGUAAAG
Molecule: ribosomal RNA, 300 nt
Filed under: uncultured Paracoccaceae bacterium
Lineage: Bacteria; Pseudomonadati; Pseudomonadota; Alphaproteobacteria; Rhodobacterales; Paracoccaceae
Description: bacterial SSU rRNA
Rfam family: Bacterial small subunit ribosomal RNA
Source: RNAcentral